CAAGACUCGACAGCGACUCCUGGAGAAGAUAUUGCAGGCGCUUCAAACUUGGUAGCAUCAAUGCUUAUUCACCAAGGGAACUAAUGCUUAACACCGUGCAGCAGCGUUUUGGAUCACAGCCACCACUCAACGACGUACAGGUAAUUUCGGAAUUCAUCACUGCCGCUAAGAGACUGAAAACCGACGACUCACAAAGUGAGCAACUCUGAAUGUUCCUUCAACAUUGCAGUUGAUGCUUAUUUUAGUUCCAACUCUAACAU
Hibiscus syriacus is the source of this 260-nucleotide long non-coding RNA. RefSeq lists it as uncharacterized. Lineage: Eukaryota; Viridiplantae; Streptophyta; Magnoliopsida; Malvales; Malvaceae. The transcript has 3 exons. The record is from RefSeq and is a predicted model, not a curated record.